Molecule: ribosomal RNA, 468 nt
Filed under: uncultured bacterium
Lineage: Bacteria
Description: partial 16S ribosomal RNA
Rfam family: Bacterial small subunit ribosomal RNA
Source: RNAcentral
GACGAACGCUGGCGGCGUGCUUAACACAUGCCAGUCGAACGGAAAGGCCCUGCUUUUGUGGGGUGCUCGAGUGGCGAACGGGUGAGUAACACGUGAGUAACCUGCCCUUGACUUUGGGAUAACUUCAGGAAACUGGGGCUAAUACCGGAUAGGAGCUCCUGCUGCAUGGUGGGGGUUGGAAAGUUUCGGCGGUUGGGGAUGGACUCGCGGCUUAUCAGCUUGUUGGUGGGGUAGUGGCUUACCAAGGCUUUGACGGGUAGCCGGCCUGAGAGGGUGACCGGCCACAUUGGGACUGAGAUACGGACCAGACUCCUACGGGAGGCAGCAGUGGGGAAUAUGGCAGAAUGGGCGGAAGCCUGAUGCAGCAACGCCGCGUGCGUGAUGACGGCCUUCGGGUUGUAAACCGCUGUCGCCUGUGACGAAGCGGGAGUGACGGUAAUGGGUAAAGAAGCACCGGCUAACUACGUG